Molecule: ribosomal RNA, 253 nt
Filed under: uncultured bacterium
Lineage: Bacteria
Description: partial 16S ribosomal RNA
Rfam family: Bacterial small subunit ribosomal RNA
Source: RNAcentral
UACAGAGGUCUCAAGCGUUGUUCGGAAUUACUGGGCGUAAAGGGCGCGUAGGCGGCACGGUAAGUCGGGAGUGAAAGCCCGGGGCUCAACCCCGGAACGUCUUUCGAAACUGCCGAGCUAGAGUGCGGAAGAGGCAACUGGAAUUCCCAGUGUAGCGGUGAAAUGCGUAGAUAUUGGGAAGAACACCUGAGGCGAAGGCGGGUUGCUGGGCCGACACUGACGCUGAUGCGCGAAAGCCAGGGGAGCGAACGGG